Molecule: ribosomal RNA, 667 nt
Filed under: Nematoda environmental sample
Lineage: Eukaryota; Metazoa; Nematoda
Description: SSU rRNA
Rfam family: Eukaryotic small subunit ribosomal RNA
Source: RNAcentral
UGCGGUUAAAAAGCUCGUAGUUGGAUCUGCGUUCGGUGAAAGCGGUCGCCCGACGGGUUGUACUGCUUCUCCCGAACUAAUCAUUCGGUUUUCCCUUGAUGCUCUUCAUUGAGUGUCCUGGGUGACCGGAACUUUUACUUUGAAAAAAUUAGAGUGCUCAAAGCAGGCGAUUCGCCCGAAUAUUCGUGCAUGGAAUAAUGAAAAAGGUCCUUGUAGCCUUUUAUUGGUUAUUGCUAUGAGGAAAUGAUCGAAGGGGACAGACGGGGGCAUUUGUAUUGCGACGUUAGAGGUGAAAUUCUUGGAUCGUCGCAAGACAAACUACUGCGAAAGCAUUUGCCAAGAAUGUUUUCAUCAAUCAAGAACGAAAGUCUGAGGUUCGACAGCGAUCAGAUACCGCUUUAGUUCAGACCGUAAACGAUGCCAUCUGGCGAUCCAUGGGUGUUAUGUAUGACUCCAUGGGCAGCCACCGGGAAACCUUUAAGUUGGGUUCCGGGGGAAGUAUGGUUGCAAAGCUGAAACUUAAAGGAAUUGACGGAAGGGCACCACCAGGAGUGGAGCCUGCGGCUUAAUUUGACUCAACACGGGAAAACUCACCCGGCCCGGACACUGUAAGGAUUGACAGAUUGAUAGCUCUUUCUUGAUUCGGUGGUGUGGUGGUGCAUGGCCG